GACAGAGGUGCCAAGCGUUGUUCGGAAUUACUGGGCGUAAAGCGCGCGCAGGCGGUCUUCCAAGUCAGUGGUGAAAGCCCGGAGCUCAACUCCGGAACUGCCAUUGAAACUGUGAGACUUGAGGAUGAGAGAGGUGAGUGGAAUUCCCAGUGUAGAGGUGAAAUUCGUAGAUAUUGGGAAGAACACCGGUGGCGAAGGCGGCUCACUGGCUCAUUUCUGACGCUCAGGCGCGACAGCGUGGGGAUCAAACAGG
This 253-nucleotide ribosomal RNA is filed under the name uncultured bacterium. RNAcentral describes it as "partial 16S ribosomal RNA". It matches the Rfam family "Bacterial small subunit ribosomal RNA", at positions 524 to 776 of the family's 1533-position model. The record is from RNAcentral.